Molecule: ribosomal RNA, 496 nt
Filed under: uncultured bacterium
Lineage: Bacteria
Description: partial 16S ribosomal RNA
Rfam family: Bacterial small subunit ribosomal RNA
Source: RNAcentral
GAUGAACGCUGACGGCGUGCCUAAUACAUGCAAGUCGAGCGAACGGACGAGAAGCUUGCUUCUCUGAUGUUAGCGGCGGACGGGUGAGUAACACGUGGAUAACCUACCUAUAAGACUGGGAUAACUUCGGGAAACCGGAGCUAAUACCGGAUAAUAUUUUGAACCGCAUGGUUCAAAAGUGAAAGACGGUCUUGCUGUCACUUAUAGAUGGAUCCGCGCUGCAUUAGCUAGUUGGUAAGGUAACGGCUUACCAAGGCAACGAUGCGUAGCCGACCUGAGAGGGUGAUCGGCCACACUGGAACUGAGACACGGUCCAGACUCCUACGGGAGGCAGCAGUAGGGAAUCUUCCGCAAUGGGCGAAAGCCUGACGGAGCAACGCCGCGUGAGUGAUGAAGGUCUUCGGAUCGUAAAACUCUGUUAUUAGGGAAGAACAUAUGUGUAAGUAACUGUGCACAUCUUGACGGUACCUAAUCAGAAAGCCACGGCUAACUACGU